RNAcentral lists this non-coding RNA (604 nucleotides) under Schistocephalus solidus. RNAcentral's name for it is "Eukaryotic small subunit ribosomal RNA". It matches the Rfam family "Eukaryotic small subunit ribosomal RNA", at positions 690 to 1287 of the family's 1831-position model. The record is from Rfam by way of RNAcentral. Lineage: Eukaryota; Metazoa; Platyhelminthes; Cestoda; Diphyllobothriidea; Diphyllobothriidae.
CGUCGGCUCGUCUGCAUGCCUUUGGAUUCCCUUCAAAGGGAGCCUUUGAGCAAAGGGCACGUUUACUUUGAAAAACAUUUGGGUGCUCAAACCAGGCCGAUGUUGACUGAAACGUUUUGCAUGGAAUAAUGGAAUAGGACUUAGGUUCUACUUCGUUUGUUUUUGGAUCCGAAGUAAAGAUUAAAAGAGGCAGGCGGGGACGUUUGUAUGGUUGUGAUAGAGGUGAAAUUCAUGGACCGUAACCAGACAAACUAAAGCGAAAGCAUUCGUCAAGCCUGUUUUCAUUGGCCACGAGCGAGGGUCAGAGGCUCGAAGACUAUCAGAAACAGUCCUUGUUCUGACCAUAAACGAUGCCAACUGAUGAUCCAUGGUGGUAGUGUUUUAACCAUCCCUACGGGCAGUCCCCGGGAAACCUUUAACUCUUUGGGUUCCUGGGGAAGUAUGGUUGCAAAGCUGAAACUUAAAGUAAUUGACGGAAGCGCACCACCUGGACUGGAGCCUGCGGCUUAAUUUGACUCAACACGGGAAAUUUCACCCGGCCCGGACAGUGUGAGGAUUGACAGAUUAAUAGCUCUUUCUUGAUUUGGUGGUUGGUGGUGCGUGA